This 870-nucleotide ribosomal RNA is filed under the name Beauveria bassiana. Its description in RNAcentral is "partial large subunit ribosomal RNA". It matches the Rfam family "Eukaryotic large subunit ribosomal RNA", at positions 37 to 938 of the family's 3401-position model. The record is from RNAcentral. Lineage: Eukaryota; Fungi; Ascomycota; Sordariomycetes; Hypocreales; Cordycipitaceae.
AGCAUAUCAAUAAGCGGAGGAAAAGAAACCAACAGGGAUUGCCCCAGUAACGGCGAGUGAAGCGGCAACAGCUCAAAUUUGAAAUCUGGCUCUCAGGGCCCGAGUUGUAAUUUGUAGAGGAUGCUUUUGGCGAGGUGCCUUCCGAGUUCCCUGGAACGGGACGCCACAGAGGGUGAGAGCCCCGUAUGGUCGGACACCGAGCCUCUGUAAAGCUCCUUCGACGAGUCGAGUAGUUUGGGAAUGCUGCUCAAAAUGGGAGGUAUAUGUCUUCUAAAGCUAAAUAUUGGCCAGAGACCGAUAGCGCACAAGUAGAGUGAUCGAAAGAUGAAAAGCACUUUGAAAAGAGGGUUAAAAAGUACGUGAAAUUGUUGAAAGGGAAGCGCCUAUGACCAGACUUGCGCCCGGUGAAUCACCCAGCGUUCUCGCUGGUGCACUUUGCCGGGCACAGGCCAGCAUCAGUUCAGCGCGGGGGAGAAAGGCUUCGGGAAUGUGGCUCCCUCGGGAGUGUUAUAGCCCGCUGCGUAAUGCCCUGCGCCGGACUGAGGUACGCGCAUUGCAAGGAUGCUGGCGUAAUGGUCAUCAGCGACCCGUCUUGAAACACGGACCAAGGAGUCGUCUUCGUAUGCGAGUGUUCGGGUGUCAAACCCCUACGCGUAAUGAAAGUGAACGCAGGUGAGAGCUUCGGCGCAUCACCGACCGAUCCUGAUGUUCUCGGAUGGAUUUGAGUAAGAGCAUACGGGGCCGGACCCGAAAGAAGGUGAACUAUGCCUGUAUAGGGUGAAGCCAGAGGAAACUCUGGUGGAGGCUCGCAGCGGUUCUGACGUGCGAAUCGAUCGUCAAAUAUGGGCAUGGGGGCGAAAGACUAAUCGA